CCUACGGGAGGCAGCAGUGAGGAAUAUUGGUCAAUGGGCGCGAGCCUGAACCAGCCAAGUCGCGUGAGGGAAGACGGUCCUAUGGAUUGUAAACCUCUUUUGUCGGGGAGCAAAAGACGCCACGCGUGGCGUUCCGAGAGUACCCGAAGAAAACGCAUCGGCUAACUCCGUGCCAGCAGCCGCGGUAAUACGGAGGAUGCGAGCGUUAUCCGGAUUUAUUUGGGUUAAAGGGUGCGCAGGCGGAAUAUCAAGUCAGCGGUAAAAUUGAGAGGCUCAACCUCUUCGAGCCGUUGAAACUGGUUAUCUUGAGUGAGCGAGAAGUAUGCGGAAUGCGUGGUGUAGCGGUGAAAUGCAUAGAUAUCACGCAGAACUCCGAUUGCGAAGGCAGCAUACCGGCGCUCAACUGACGCUCAUGCACGAAAGUGUGGGUAUCGAACAGGAUUAGAUACCCUUGUAGUC
This 459-nucleotide ribosomal RNA is filed under the name uncultured bacterium. RNAcentral describes it as "partial 16S ribosomal RNA". It matches the Rfam family "Bacterial small subunit ribosomal RNA", at positions 338 to 795 of the family's 1533-position model. The record is from RNAcentral.